This 75-nucleotide small nucleolar RNA is filed under the name Nannospalax galili (Upper Galilee mountains blind mole rat). Its description in RNAcentral is "Small nucleolar RNA SNORA31 (ENSNGAG00000004483.1)". The record is from RNAcentral. Lineage: Eukaryota; Metazoa; Chordata; Mammalia; Rodentia; Spalacidae.
AUGCAAGAAGAAUGUUUCCUCGAACUUUCUGUUUGUCUGAUUGUGGCAGCCAAGAUUGAAUAGAGGAACACAGAG